UACGUAGGGGGCAAGCGUUGUCCGGAUUUACUGGGCGUAAAGAGCGCGUAGGCGGAAGCUUAAGUGUGGCCUGAAAGCCCCCGGCUCAACCGGGGAAGGUGGCUGCAAACUGGGCUUCUUGAGGGCGAUAGAGGAGAGCGGAAUUCCUGGUGUAGCGGUGAAAUGCGUAGAUAUCAGGAGGAACACCGGUGGCGAAGGCGGCUCUCUGGGUCGGCCCUGACGCUGAGGCGCGAAAGCGUGGGGAGCGAACAGG
RNAcentral lists this ribosomal RNA (253 nucleotides) under uncultured bacterium. Its description in RNAcentral is "partial 16S ribosomal RNA". It matches the Rfam family "Bacterial small subunit ribosomal RNA", at positions 524 to 776 of the family's 1533-position model. The record is from RNAcentral.